RNAcentral lists this ribosomal RNA (627 nucleotides) under uncultured Dermocybe. Its description in RNAcentral is "eukaryotic LSU rRNA". The stretch from base 249 to 402 matches the Rfam family "5.8S ribosomal RNA". Lineage: Eukaryota; Fungi; Basidiomycota; Agaricomycetes; Agaricales; Cortinariaceae. The record is from RNAcentral.
GAUCAUUAUUGAAAAUAAACCUGAUGGGUUGCUGCUGGCUCUCUAGGGAGCAUGUGCACACUUGUCAUCUUUAUAUCUCCUCCUGUGCACCUUUUGUAGACCUGGGGAUAUCUUUCUGACUGCGUAAGCAAUUCAGGUUUGAGGAUUUGACGUUGUCUUUCCUUGUGUUUUCAGGUCUAUGUUUCUUCAUAUACCCCAAUGUAUGUUAUAGAAUGUAAUUUGGGCCUCUGUGCCUAUAAACCUUAUACAACUUUCAGCAACGGAUCUCUUGGCUCUCGCAUCGAUGAAGAACGCAGCGAAAUGCGAUAAGUAAUGUGAAUUGCAGAAUUCAGUGAAUCAUCGAAUCUUUGAACGCACCUUGCGCUCCUUGGUAUUCCGAGGAGCAUGCCUGUUUGAGUGUCAUUAAUAUAUCAACCUCUUCAGCUUUUGCUUGCUGAGUGUUGGAUGUGGGGGGUAUUUUGCUGGUCUCUUUUUGAAAUCAGCUCCCCUAAAAUGCAUUAGCGGAACAAUUAUGUUGACCGUUCAUUGGUGUGAUAAUUAUCUACGCUAUUGACGUGAAACAAGUUCAGCUUCUAAUAGUCCAUUAACUUGGACAAUUUUCAUUAAUGUGACCUCAAAUCAGGUAGG